CUGCUGUGAAAGUGCAUCUCGCCCUUUCGCUUUUCUCAUAGGCCUGGAGAUCGGGCACCCACGGCUCUUUCCCUUGUUCCAGCCGGGUGAUCAGGUCAGGUUUGGGAA
Molecule: non-coding RNA, 108 nt
Organism: Chelonoidis abingdonii (Abingdon island giant tortoise)
Lineage: Eukaryota; Metazoa; Chordata; Testudines; Testudinidae
Source: RefSeq, a predicted model, not a curated record